RNAcentral lists this ribosomal RNA (447 nucleotides) under uncultured bacterium. RNAcentral's name for it is "bacterial SSU rRNA". It matches the Rfam family "Bacterial small subunit ribosomal RNA", at positions 355 to 825 of the family's 1533-position model. The record is from RNAcentral.
UGGGGAAUAUUGGACAAUGGGCGCAAGCCUGAUCCAGCCAUGCCGCGUGAGUGACGAAGGUCUUCGGAUUGUAAAACUCUUUUGGCGGGGACGAUAAUGACGGUACCCGCAGAAUAAGCCCCGGCUAACUUCGUGCCAGCAGCCGCGGUAAUACGAAGGGGGCUAGCGUUGUUCGGAAUCACUGGGCGUAAAGCGCACGUAGGCGGAUGUGCCAGUCAGGGGUGAAAUCCCGGAGCUCAACUCCGGAACUGCCUCUGAUACAGCACGUCUUGAGUUCGAGAGAGGUGGGUGGAAUUCCUAGUGUAGAGGUGAAAUUCGUAGAUAUUAGGAAGAACACCGGUGGCGAAGGCGGCCCACUGGCUCGAUACUGACGCUGAGGUGCGAAAGCGUGGGUAGCAAACAGGAUUAGAUACCCAAGUAGUCCCUGAGCGGGCUGGCAAGGCGCAU